AAAGCCCCGCAAGGGGUAAGUAGAGUGGCAAACGGGUGAGUAACACGUGGGUGACCUGCCUUCGAGCGGGGGAUAACGUCCCGAAAGGGUCGCUAAUACCGCAUGACAUCCUGCCUUUGAACAGGCGGCGAUCAAAGCUGGGGAUCGCAAGACCUAGCACUCGAAGAGGGGCCCGCGCCUGAUUAGCUAGUUGGUGGGGUAACGGCUCACCAAGGCAACGAUCAGUAUCCGGCCUGAGAGGGCGGACGGACACACUGGGACUGAGACACGGCCCAGACUCCUACGGGAGGCAGCAGUGGGGAAUUGUUCGCAAUGGGCGCAAGCCUGACGACGCAACGCCGCGUGGAGGAUGAAGAUCUUCGGGUCGUAAACUCCUUUCGAUCGAGACGAACGGCCUCCGGGUGAACAAUCCGGAGGAGUGACGGUACCGAGAGAAGAAGCCCCGGCUAACUCCGUGCCAGCAGCCGCGGUAAUACGGGGGGGGCAAGCGUUGUUCGGAAUUACUGGGCGUAAAGGGCUCGUAGGCGGCCAACUAAGUCAGACGUGAAAUCCCUCGGCUUAACCGGGGAACUGCGUCUGAUACUGGAUGGCUAGAGGUUGGGAGAGGGAUGCGGAAUUCCAGGUGUAGCGGUGAAAUGCGUAGAUAUCUGGAGGAACACCGGUGGCGAAGGCGGCAUCCUGGACCAAUUCUGACGCUGAGGAGCGAAAGCCAGGGGAGCAAACGGGAUUAGAUACCCCGGUAGUCCUGGCCCUAAACGAUGAAUGCUUGGUGUGGCGGGUAUCGAU
RNAcentral lists this ribosomal RNA (786 nucleotides) under uncultured Pseudomonadota bacterium. Its description in RNAcentral is "bacterial SSU rRNA". It matches the Rfam family "Bacterial small subunit ribosomal RNA", at positions 71 to 836 of the family's 1533-position model. The record is from RNAcentral. Lineage: Bacteria; Pseudomonadati; Pseudomonadota.